Molecule: long non-coding RNA, 587 nt
Organism: Cercocebus atys (sooty mangabey)
Lineage: Eukaryota; Metazoa; Chordata; Mammalia; Primates; Cercopithecidae
Exons: 2
Source: RefSeq, a predicted model, not a curated record
UGACCUCGUGAUCCGCCCGUCUCGGCCUCCCAAAGUGCUGGGAUUACAGGCUUGAGCCACCAUGCUGGCCCAAGAAUAGAAUAUUUAAACCAUUCUGUGGCUAUAUCAUUUUUAGUUAAAGUUUUUAAGGUUUUAUUCUGUUUACCAUGUGCAGGAAAGAAAAAAAUGGUAUCAGGUUAAACGUGAAACUUUGUUGUAGUACAGGUUAUUUCAGUAGGAAAUACAAGGGAAAAAAUAAAAUUUUUUAAAAAUGACAGUUAUAGUGGUUUGGGGCAAUUGGAUAAUUUGAAGUUUUUAGUAGUCAAGGGCAUGUUUCUUUCAGAGUCUAGAGAAAAUUUAGGUAAAGAAAUGAAAAAGGUGAGAAAUGACAAGCUACUUUCUGUCAUGUAGCGAUACUGGAAAGAGAAAUGGUAUGAUGGUCCUUUUGUUUUUAGGAUUCCAAGCAUAAAAGAACGGACAGAUCAAUUUUAUGUUGUUUACGAAAAGGAGAAUCUGGCCAGUCAUGGCCAAGGUUAACAAAAGAAAGGGCAAAGCUUAAUUGGCUUAGUGUCGACUUCAAUAAUUGGAAAGACUGGGAAGAUGAUUCA